GUGACAUAAGUCUUCGCUAAGUGCCAUUCGUGAGGGGUUAAUUUGAAGCAAAUUGAUUGACUGUUUAAAUGCAUCGUUUGUUGGAUCAACGACUUUUAUUCCUUUCGGAAUAUGAGGGACCACCUAUGCCCUCUCUUCUGGCCUGAUUUAAACAAUGUUUUGGACGCGUGCAUUAGGCUACAUCGGUCCUAUUCAACAUUGUGCCAUUUAGUACAAUAGAUGUUUGUUUUAUAUUAGCUGUUAUGUUGGUUAUUUGUAAAUAAACUGUUUUUAUCUAUAGUUUUAUAGCAUCCGGCCUAGUAAGCAAGUCUAUUAUCUGAAACCAACCCACUCAGGGAAGUAAUUGCCCACCCAUGGCUUAAAUGCAUUUCUUUGUUUGUAUCUCCCGAAAUGCGAGGAACCACCUGGUACAAAUAACUAAUUCCACACCUGAUGAAAAUCAUAUUCUAUGAUUAAGUCAUCCAAUCAAAUGUUCUUCAAACAUGCAAAUGUCAUCAAGAGCGAAGACAUAACAAUAUUUCUGCCAUGCAUGAUGGUAGACACUGUUUUGUUUUGGCUGGGAGAGACGUACUUUCUAAAUGUUGCACUUUGAAUCAUCGAUAAUUUAUUCCUAUGGAGACAGAAUAUCUGUCAUUGAUCCAACACUUCCGAUAUAUCAAUCAGGUCAGAUGACAAUACUAGAAAAUCCGCUGAGUGCAUCAAUUUAGCAAUGUCAUAUACAGGAUCUGAACUGGUAAGAGAUACUGUGGCAUAUGGUUGAGCCAGCUCCCUCUUUUCCGGGAUAAAAAAGAGGAACUCCCGAAGUAUGUGAACAAGAUGGCGGACACCAGAACGAAAUAUCGUAUAUGUUCGCGAAUAGGCCGAGUUUAAAACUCAAAAAAAAAGUUGCCAAACUAAGGGACCGUCUUAUUCGCGCAUAACUCAGAUUGCACCAAAAAUCAGCUCAUUCGCGCAUCAGAAUUUGAUCACGCAACGAGAUGAUAUUAUGCUGACCUAUGACAUUUACAUCAUAGUUUUGAGUCCCACUUCCAUGAAACUGAUCCAGACCAAUGUUUUAUGGCAGUGGUCACACUUACAAACAUCAGUGGGUAUGGCCAUAACCACAGUGAUUUCGAACAGCUUUCCAGCUCUUGUGGAAUCCCCCAUAUUUUUAACUUUCAAUUUCAUAUUAGAAACUAGAUAUUGCCUAAUAAGAACAGUUUCAUCGAAUCUCCGCAACUUUCCUUUUUAGUGGAAUUGUGUGCACGGCCAAAGAAGUGUUGAUUCUGACAUUUCUAAUUGCCAAGUUAGACUGUAACAGCUAACAUAAAACAUGGGUAUUUAAAGAGUUUUAAACUACGGAAAAUUGCCAUGCAUGACCUGAAAAAUGCUUUUUUUUGCUCAUUUCGAAAGAGGAAUUCCAGCCUUCAAACCCCAUUCUGGGUACGCCCAGACCUUUGUUCUCGUAUCUGAUUGAUUUUACUGAAAAACUGCUCUUGGACUGGACUAGUUUAAAUAAAACAUUUCUUUUAUUUUGAGUGCGUUAACAUGAAUCCACGCAAGAUCAAAGAAGAAGCUGGAAAAGGAUCUGUGAUUGAACUUUGAUGAAUUACAUUUGACUAAGGUGAGAAAGCAAGAUGUAUAUGAACCAAGAUGGCAGACACCAGAGCGUAGUAUGUGUACCAGAAAUUGAUCUGAUGAGCCCAGCUCCUCGACGCUCACAUAAGAAUCUACUUGGACCAGAAAUCGUAAAAAGUUUGACAAUACGGCACGAGAGAACACAACCGACUGACGUCAUCCAAAAAUUGAUCAAAAUUGUUUAUUAUGGCGAUACAGUUCUUUUCAUAUAUAUUCAAAACUAUAAAAGUGAUUUUGUAAACGUAAAAUGGGGCUAAUGAUCCAAAAUAAAGAAUUACCUUUGGUGUGGUCUGAUUCCAAUACGAAAGAUUCGGAUUCGGACCGGGGCCCACCAGUUGAGUAGCCCUGGUAUAUUCUUAUUGCAGUAGUAAAGAAACCGGACUUAUAUUCGCGAUUAUGUGAUAAAAUAAACUACUGACUGACUGACAUACAGUUAGACUACCUGCCAAAACGAGCAUUAACUCUACAUUUAUCAAACAAACGAACAUUCGCAUAAUCUAAGUAUCAGUUCGGCAAGUGAAUUGCUUAUUUUAUUCAGCUUUUUUACAUCCAAGUUGUGUAAAGGGAUUGAAACCUAUGGGCAGGGAAAUAUUCACUUGGCUAACACAGACAGUCCCCGAACUCUUAAUAGAACUAAAAUAAGGAAAAUCAGAAUAAAAUUAAAUUGGUACACAUACUACCAGAGUACCCAAUUGGAAAACUUGCUAAAAACGCAUUUAUCUUGCUUUAAAUUGUAUGUACCUUAAAUGUAUACUGUUGCCAACCUAUCGAGAUUGUGAAAUCUAGAAGCGUGAUUAUAUUGUGUCCGUUUUAAUAAAUCCACCCCUAUAAGUGGUGAUAUUCAUAAAGUAGCUUGUAUGUCGGUGAAGAUGAUCAGUCAAAUACAUAAAACAUUUUUAUAAAUUACAAAUAGUUUCAAAUAUUUACCAUCCUCUUAAUUUAAAAACACCGAAAUACAAAAACUGGGGGCAUAGUGCGUGUCGCUUUCAAGUUAUUCUCGUUGAACUGAGUGUCACUUAUUCUAAUUCGGAAAUAGAUUACAAAAGUUGGGAGAGAAAUCACUGUUUAAAUAAAUGUAGCGCCAAUGGCAGCCAACAACAUGAACCCCAGAGAUCUGCUUUCCAGUGAUUAUUUGUAGAGUUACGGGCGCGGCUACAUAAAGUGAGAAUGAUUGAAAUCUUAACUUCCGGCAAUUUUUUUUGUUAUGGCUGAUUGGCUAUGAUACAUAUUCGUGAAAACAGUAAAAUUGGGGUCUAGUUCUGAAAAAAGGUGGUCUAUUCUAAACAUUUUGGUCUCUUUAUUUAUAUUCACAUCAACAAUCAUCCUCUUUGCUGAUUUUUACGAUUACAUUUAUAUGAAAUGUUUUGUCA
This is a non-coding RNA of Styela clava, 2987 nucleotides long. The record is from RefSeq and is a predicted model, not a curated record. NCBI's taxonomy places the organism in Eukaryota, Metazoa, Chordata, Ascidiacea, Stolidobranchia, Styelidae.